AUGCUGGGCACCUUGAAAAGUUGCAAAGUGGGCAGGAAGCUCCGGGCUGCUGAGAAAAAAAGCUUCCUGAAAUAUAAAUUCCAGGUAAAUAACGUCAUGGUUCUCCUCACUAAUGGAAUUAUGAGGGAGAUAGGGAGGGAAGACAGAGGGAAGAAAAGAGGCAGGGGAAGAGAAGGGAAAGGAUAAAUUAGAGAAGAAAUGGGUGCAGAUUUUAA
Molecule: long non-coding RNA, 215 nt
Filed under: Mustela putorius furo (domestic ferret)
Lineage: Eukaryota; Metazoa; Chordata; Mammalia; Carnivora; Mustelidae
Description: lncRNA (ENSMPUG00000028542.1)
Source: RNAcentral